AAUGGAUAGCGCUAGUACCUGCGUGAGGAACAGGUAGACGAGGUAGAGAAGAAUCGAACAUUCAGCGGAUGUCUCUCGGCAGCUCCGGCCGUUACGUGGCGGCAAAGAAUACUGGUAACAGUGUGGACAAAAAC
This 134-nucleotide non-coding RNA is filed under the name Megasphaera hominis. RNAcentral describes it as "glmS glucosamine-6-phosphate activated ribozyme". It matches the Rfam family "glmS glucosamine-6-phosphate activated ribozyme aptamer", at positions 10 to 151 of the family's 167-position model. Rfam says of the family: This entry contains a glucosamine-6-phosphate activated ribozyme that is found in the mRNA for GlmS. GlmS is an enzyme that uses fructose-6-phosphate and glutamine to generate glucosamine-6-phosphate. The record is from RNAcentral. Lineage: Bacteria; Bacillati; Bacillota; Negativicutes; Veillonellales; Veillonellaceae.